This 490-nucleotide ribosomal RNA is filed under the name uncultured bacterium. RNAcentral's name for it is "partial 16S ribosomal RNA". It matches the Rfam family "Bacterial small subunit ribosomal RNA", at positions 29 to 507 of the family's 1533-position model. The record is from RNAcentral.
AGUGAACGCUGGCGGUAGGCCUAACACAUGCAAGUCGAACGGCAGCACAGGAGAGCUUGCUCUCUAGGUGGCGAGUGGCGGACGGGUGAGGAAUACAUCGGAAUCUGCCCAGUCGUGGGGGAUAACGUAGGGAAACUUACGCUAAUACCGCAUACGACCUUCGGGUGAAGGAGGGGGAUCGCAAGACCUCUCGCGAUUGGAUGAGCCGAUGUCGGAUUAGCUAGUUAGCGGGGUAAUGGCCCACCAAGGCGACGAUCCGUAGCUGGUCUGAGAGGAUGAUCAGCCACACUGGAACUGAGACACGGUCCAGACUCCUACGGGAGGCAGCAGUGGGGAAUAUUGGACAAUGGGCGCAAGCCUGAUCCAGCCAUACCGCGUGGGUGAAGAAGGCCUUCGGGUUGUAAAGCCCUUUUGUUGGGAAAGAAAUCUUUCAGGCUAAUACCCUGGGAGGAUGACGGUACCCAAAGAAUAAGCACCGGCUAACCUCGUG